UACGGAAGGGGCAAGCGUUGUUCGGAAUCAUUGGGCGUAAAGGGCGCGUAGGUGGUUCUGUAUGUCUACCGUGAAAGCGUACGGCUCAACCGUAUUUUGUCGGUGGAAACUGCAGGACUUGAGGCUGGGAGGGGCUGGUGGAAUUCCCUGUGUAGCGGUGAAAUGCGUAGAGAUGGGGGAGAACACUCGUGGCGAAGGCGGCCAGCUAGACCAGUUCUGACACUGAGGCGCGACAGCGUGGGGAGCAAUCAGG
This 253-nucleotide ribosomal RNA is filed under the name uncultured bacterium. Its description in RNAcentral is "partial 16S ribosomal RNA". It matches the Rfam family "Bacterial small subunit ribosomal RNA", at positions 524 to 776 of the family's 1533-position model. The record is from RNAcentral.